This 1828-nucleotide long non-coding RNA is filed under the name Apis florea (little honeybee). RNAcentral's name for it is "uncharacterized LOC116415035". Lineage: Eukaryota; Metazoa; Arthropoda; Insecta; Hymenoptera; Apidae. The record is from RNAcentral.
UCUCUCUCUCUCUCUCUCUCUCUCUAUCCCGCGUAUAUCGAUCGGACGGUGGACGACGGUGCCCGAGCUUCGAUUGUCCAACAGAUUUUUUCCACCACGUUACUCCACAGGAUCACGUGUCACCCGAUACAGUACGUCGCCCGACAAACGAAUCGAAGAUCUUGAACAGAGGGGAUAGUUGGUGUUUCGAGUUUUUAGGUUAAACCCUGGUGGACGGAGCGAGAGAAAGAGAGGGGGAGGGAGGGGAAAAAGACAAGUUUCACCCUUAUUUUUCGCCGAUCCUCCCUCUCGAACGUUUACUAUCAAAGCAUCGUUAGUCUAGUGGUCUCUUGGCAAGCACGGGGGAGUAACGCUGUUGGUUCUCACGCGCCCCAUACGUCUACCGUGUUAAUGCAAAUACAGCCGGCACUACGAAUAACAAGGUGCAAUGUUACAGUUGGGGAACAAACUUCGUGGGCGAGGCUCGAGUUUUGAAACGGUUUGCAACGCGGAUUCCUCCGACGCGGAAUUAACUCUUGGUAAUCGUCGUUACGUGUAAUAGCGGUGCGUAAUCCAGCGAGUUGUAACAACUGUUCUUUUUCCCGGCAAUUCGUCGGAUUUUCGAUCCGCGACAGAAUCACGCCCGGACCUUAAUUUGACAGGGGACGAGGGUGUGGAGAGCGGCGCGGGCGUGACAGAUUGUAGAAGCGUGUCGCAUCGGUUAAUACAACGGGACUAAUGAGUGGGACGCAUCGAGACUCGGGGAUGUGUAUCUCUCCGUCGCCUCUCGUUUCGGAGAUAUACCACCGUUCCAAUAAUUCACCUCUAAUUAAGGCGUUAAUGAAGAGCCUCGGGGAGAGAGAGAGAGAGAGAGAGAAGUGACUUGCCUCGAAACGACUCGCUGGAAUGCAAUAAGAGAGCGAAGGCUGUAGACGAGAAGGAAGGAACUCUUCGCCAGCUAUGAAAAUUUCUAUUGGCUUUCUUCGAGGGUUCUUUCGUCGCGACUCCUUUCGACGACGACCUUACCCCCUCGUGUGCCGGGGAAUCCGUCUAUGAACUUUCCCUCCCAAGGGAAGAAUCUUUUGUUUCGAAUCGGUCGUUUCGCGUAUCAACCUCGCGCAUUUACCUUCCCUUUGAAUCUCGCGACGAGAUUCAACGCAGAUUCUCGCAAACUUGGAGAUCUUGGGACGGUGCGAUCGUCGUUGCAUUUAUCGUUGCGUUUAUCGCGCUGCGCGUACGAGACGAUCGAGGGAUCGAUGGUAACAAAAGGAAAUUUCGUCACACCUACCUGUCGGCGUUACCAGAAACGCAAGAGAGAAAAAAAAGAAAGAGAAAAAAAAAAAUAUCGAAAAAACAAAAACUUGACCCCGUUCCUUUCUUAACCCGUUCGACACUUGGAAAAAAAUGAAGGAAGAAAAGUAAAAAAAAAAAAAAAAAAAAAAGUAACGAAAAGGUCAACGUAAGAUUAAAAAAACAAAGAUGGUUGCCGAGAUGGAGAUGACGUUUAAUCGUUAAAUCAAUAAAAUUAAUGAAUUAAAUAAAUAAAUUAAAAAUGUUUAUAUACAUAUUUAUAUAUAUAAUAUAUAUAUAUAUAUAAUAUAAUAUAAAACAUAAAUAGAGUCCCGAGACUGGUGGAGCGAAGCGCGUAUUUCGACGCGCCCUCUCCGUUGCGCUUUCUUUGCGAUCUUUUUCUCCUCGCGCGAAGCCGUAACGUCGAGAAUUCCGGAAGAGAUCGAUUCGCCAUCGUGUCCGCCCAAAAUAUCAUCGUUCCACUUUCUCUUUUGGUGGCUGUCGUGAAAAACGCGUGUUUCACGGGGAAGAAUACGACAGAGAGAGAGAGAGAGAGAGA